Molecule: ribosomal RNA, 405 nt
Filed under: uncultured bacterium
Lineage: Bacteria
Description: bacterial SSU rRNA
Rfam family: Bacterial small subunit ribosomal RNA
Source: RNAcentral
AGUGAACGCUGGCGGCAGGCCUAACACAUGCAAGUCGAGCGGCAGCGCGUCCGACCACCCUCGGGUGGUCGGAUGGCGGCGAGCGGCGGACGGGUGAGGAAUGCAUCGGAAUCUGCCUCGUUGUGGGGGAUAACGUAGGGAAACUUACGCUAAUACCGCAUACGACCUACGGGUGAAAGUGGGGGACCUUCGGGCCUCACGCGAUGAGAUGAGCCGAUUUGCCGGAUUAGCUAGUUGGCGGGGUAAAGGGCCCACCAAGGCGACGAUCCGUAGCUGGUCUGAGAGGAUGAUCAGCCACACUGGAACUGAGACACGGUCCAGACUCCUACGGGAGGCAGCAGUGGGGAAUUUUGGACAAUGGACGCAAGUCUGAUCCAGCAAUGCCGCGUGCAGGACGAAGGCCUC